CCGCGUCAUCGGCUCCUGCGCCGUGCGCUCGACGGUGGGGAACCGGCUCGGACGGCUCGCGUCGGGUGGUCCAGAGAGAAACGUGGCGAUGACGAGACUGACGCUUUUUUGUCUUUUUCUUUUUUCUAGGCACAUGUGAUUUUAAAUUGUACAAAUGAUUCUGUGGUUGUGCUGGAGGUACUGAGGCCAAAGCAACCGAGAUCUGCCCAUUAGAGCCGGAAUUCAGCUGAUUAAGGAAUUGGAAGGAGAUUUCGCGUCUGUUCCUAAUGAUGGCCGGCUGAACUUCAUGGAAGAAAUUGCUUACUGCAGGAUUUGGUCGUGAGGUCGGAGAUGUUCCUGGGGCCUUAAGCUUGCGACUAGAUCGUCAGCUAAUGUCAACUCAAUAGGUCUAGGAUGCUGUUUCCGGUCGAUGUCGGUAUCUUCCUCUCUUUCCUUUUCUCUGUAGUCCGGUUCUUUAUGGAGACUAGCUUGUGUGAAUUAGCAUUAAUUCAUCAUCCAAGCUUGUGGAAUCGACUUUCAUCAACUAUUACUUCGAUAGUAUAUGAUACUUAAUGCUAGAUUCAUGGUAGAUGAAUUUCCA
Long non-coding RNA from Eucalyptus grandis, 580 nucleotides. RefSeq lists it as uncharacterized. The record is from RefSeq and is a predicted model, not a curated record. Lineage: Eukaryota; Viridiplantae; Streptophyta; Magnoliopsida; Myrtales; Myrtaceae. The transcript has 3 exons.